AACGCACCUUGCGCCCCUUGGCAUUCUGAGGGGCACACCCGUUUGAGUGUCGUGAAUUUUUCAACCUUUUCCCUUUUAUUCUUUGAAUCGAGGCGGGAAAGGCUUGGACUUUGGAGGCUUCUGCUGGCCUCUCCCUCUUUUGAGGCCAGCUCCUCUUAAAUAAAUUAGUGGGGUUCCCUUUGCCGAUCCUCGACGUAUGAUAAAGCCAUUUCUACGUCUAGAGAAGCAAAGAGACCUGCUUCUAAUAGUCUCUUAGAGACAAUCUAUGGACCCUUUUGACCUCAAAUCGGGUGAGACUACCCGCUGAACUUAA
Molecule: ribosomal RNA, 313 nt
Filed under: uncultured Lactifluus
Lineage: Eukaryota; Fungi; Basidiomycota; Agaricomycetes; Russulales; Russulaceae
Description: eukaryotic LSU rRNA
Source: RNAcentral